UCUACGGGAGGCAGCAGUGGGGAAUAUUGGGCAAUGGGCGCAAGCCUGACCCAGCAACGCCGCGUGAAGGAAGAAGGCUUUCGGGUUGUAAACUUCUUUUCUCAGGGACGAAGCAAGUGACGGUACCUGAGGAAUAAGCCACGGCUAACUACGUGCCAGCAGCCGCGGUAAUACGUAGGUGGCAAGCGUUAUCCGGAUUUACUGGGUGGAAAGGGCGUGUAGGCGGGACGGCAAGUCAGAUGUGAAAACCACGGGCUAAACCUGUGGCCUGCAUUUGAAACUGUAGUUCUGGAGUACUGGAGAGGCAGACGGAAUUCGUGGUGUAGCGGUGAAAUGCGUAGAUAUUAGGAGGAACACCAGUGGCGAAGGCGGUCUGCUGGACAGCAACUGACGCUGAGGCGCGAAAGCGUGGGGAGCAAACAGGAUUAGAUAGCCUGGUAGUC
RNAcentral lists this ribosomal RNA (443 nucleotides) under uncultured bacterium. RNAcentral describes it as "partial 16S ribosomal RNA". It matches the Rfam family "Bacterial small subunit ribosomal RNA", at positions 338 to 795 of the family's 1533-position model. The record is from RNAcentral.